GUAGCUCAGUUGGUAGAGCAGGCGGCUGUUAACCGCCUUGUCGUAGGUUCGAGUCCUACC
Molecule: transfer RNA, 60 nt
Filed under: Planctomycetaceae bacterium
Lineage: Bacteria; Pseudomonadati; Planctomycetota; Planctomycetia; Planctomycetales; Planctomycetaceae
Description: tRNA-Asn
Rfam family: tRNA
About the family: Transfer RNA (tRNA) molecules are approximately 80 nucleotides in length. Their secondary structure includes four short double-helical elements and three loops (D, anti-codon, and T loops). Further hydrogen bonds mediate the characteristic L-shaped molecular structure. tRNAs have two regions of fundamental functional importance: the anti-codon, which is responsible for specific mRNA codon recognition, and the 3' end, to which the tRNAs corresponding amino acid is attached (by aminoacyl-tRNA synthetases). tRNAs cope with the degeneracy of the genetic code in two manners: having more than one tRNA (with a specific anti-codon) for a particular amino acid; and 'wobble' base-pairing, i.e. permitting non-standard base-pairing at the 3rd anti-codon position.
Source: RNAcentral